UGGGGAAUAUUGGACAAUGGGCGAAAGCCUGAUCCAGCCAUGCCGCGUGUGUGAAGAAGGUCUUCGGAUUGUAAAGCACUUUAAGUUGGGAGGAAGGGCAGUAAGCGAAUACCUUGCUGUUUUGACGUUACCGACAGAAUAAGCACCGCCUAACUCUGUGCCAGCAGCCGCGGUAAUACAGAGGGUGCAAGCGUUAAUCGGAAUUACUGGGCGUAAAGCGCGCGUAGGUGGUUCGUUAAGUUGAAUGUGAAAGCCCCGGGCUCAACCUGGGAACUGCAUCCAAAACUGGCGAGCUAGAGUAGGGCAGAGGGUGGUGGAAUUUCCUGUGUAGCGGUGAAAUGCGUAGAUAUAGGAAGGAACACCAGUGGCGAAGGCGACCACCUGGGCUCAUACUGACACUGAGGUGCGAAAGCGUGGGGAGCAAACAGG
This 429-nucleotide ribosomal RNA is filed under the name Pseudomonadota bacterium. Its description in RNAcentral is "Proteobacteria bacterium partial 16S ribosomal RNA". It matches the Rfam family "Bacterial small subunit ribosomal RNA", at positions 355 to 776 of the family's 1533-position model. Lineage: Bacteria; Pseudomonadati; Pseudomonadota. The record is from RNAcentral.